GUAGGGCAAUCUGUCUUUGUAGGGAUAAAUUACUCUAAAAGAAAUGAAUCCUAGAUAGUUUUCCCUUCAAGUCAAGCAUCUUG
This 83-nucleotide microRNA precursor is filed under the name Canis lupus familiaris (dog). RNAcentral describes it as "miRNA (ENSCAFG00000059461.1, ENSCAFG00845003587.1)". It matches the Rfam family "mir-684 microRNA precursor family". The record is from RNAcentral. Lineage: Eukaryota; Metazoa; Chordata; Mammalia; Carnivora; Canidae.